Molecule: ribosomal RNA, 108 nt
Filed under: Candidatus Giovannonibacteria bacterium RIFCSPHIGHO2_01_FULL_43_140
Lineage: Bacteria; Candidatus Giovannoniibacteriota
Description: partial 16S ribosomal RNA
Rfam family: Bacterial small subunit ribosomal RNA
Source: RNAcentral
CCGGCCCAGUUCAGAUUGAGGUCUGCAAUUCGACCUCAUGAAGUCGGAAUCGCUAGUAAUCGCAGGUCAGCUAUACUGCGGUGAAUACGUUCUCGAGUCUUGUACUCA